UUGUUGCAGUUAAAAAGCUCGUAGUUGGAUUUCUGGUAGGAGCGGCCGGUCCGCCCCGUAAUGGGGUGUGCACUAGAGCCGCCUCCGGCCAUCCUUGGGGGAACUGCCAUGGCCUUAAUUGGUUGUGGUAUGGAACCCAUCGUUUACUGUGAAAAAAUUAGAGUGUUUAAAGCAGGCUUAGGCCGUUGAAUACAUUAGCAUGGAAUAAUAAGAUAGGACCUUAUGGACCUCUUGUUGGUUUGCGCCGUAAGGUAAUGAUUAAUAGGGAUAGUUGGGGGUAUUCGUAUUUAAUUGUCAGAGGUGAAAUUCUUGGAUUUAUGAAAGACGAACUUCUGCGAAAGCAUUUACCAAGGAUGUUUUCAUUAAUCAAGAACGAAAGUUAGGGGAUCGAAGAUGAUUAGAUACCAUCGUAGUCUUAACCAUAAACUAUGCCGACUAGGGAUUGGCGGUCGUUAAUUUUAUGACUCCGUC
Molecule: ribosomal RNA, 471 nt
Filed under: uncultured marine eukaryote
Lineage: Eukaryota
Description: SSU rRNA
Rfam family: Eukaryotic small subunit ribosomal RNA
Source: RNAcentral